RNAcentral lists this long non-coding RNA (1003 nucleotides) under Zonotrichia albicollis (white-throated sparrow). RNAcentral's name for it is "lncRNA (ENSZALG00000008287.1)". The record is from RNAcentral. Lineage: Eukaryota; Metazoa; Chordata; Aves; Passeriformes; Passerellidae.
GUCACAAGAGACAAACAAAUUGCUCAUUGAAACAGGCAGUUGAAGGUUUCUCUUAUUUCUCUUUCUUUCUUUCUUGGUUUCCAUGCCAAUGGCCUUGGUAGAAAAUUCUUUCAGUGGUAAACAUGGAUCCUCUUAUCAAACUUCUCUCUGGCUCACAGAAGUAGCUGUAAAACCUCUUCCACACGGAUGGAUGGAUGGAUGGAUGGAUGGAUGGAUGGAUGGAUGUCCCAUUCUCCUCAUGGCAUCAUUGUUGUAGCAGGACAUCAGCAUAUUCCUGCACUGAGGGGUUUAAGCUAAAAUGAGCUGCAAAGUGCUGCAAAUCUGUACUGAAUUCAUCUUUGAGGCAAUACAGGAAUGAUCUGGAGCUCCUUGAAGCCAUAGAAAAUGCUGCCUUUGGCUUCAGCAGAUUUGGCUGAGACCCUGAGAGCUGGAGCAGCUCAGCUCCUUUGUGUGGUUCUUAACAAGUAAAGCUGAAAUGAGAGAACCUGCUGGUGCUGGAGAUGGAAGGUGCUAUUUAAACAGAGAGAGAAUCUCCUUUCUCUUUGCCUUUUAGGCUCUGAUUUCUGAUGGUCACUAUAGCAACAGGAAGCAAAGAGAUGAAGAACUGGAAAACAUGCACUUCACUAUGACAAGUUCAAUUUACAGCCAGCUCAGCAAGGAAACCUUUCUUGACUCCACGUUCAGGUGUUGGAGGAUGUGGAGCUGUUGGUGCCUGAGAUCUGAGCACAGCCCAAAUGAGGCAACACAAAGCCCCAGGACAUUGUUUUCCAGACCAAGAACUGAUGCUUUUGGCUGCUGCAGAAGCUCCCCCAUCUCGUCUGAAGCUGCUGAAAAGAUAAUGCCACACCUCCUGCAGUUCAGCAUCCCAAGGAGUGCAGGAUUUGGGAGGAUCAGGCAGCAAGGAGCUGGACUCCUCAAAACUUUCUCUUCCCUGAUGGUCAUUUCUGGCUGUCCCAACUAUCCCAGGAGCUGUUUUGAGUUUAAAUUGUCACAAGCUGAGUGA